GUGCCAGCCGCCGCGGUAAUACGGAGGGUGCAAGCGUUAAUCGGAAUUACUGGGCGUAAAGCGCACGCAGGCGGUCUGACAAGUCGGAUGUGAAAUCCCCGGGCUCAACCCGGGAACUGCAUUCGAAACUGUCAGGCUGGAGUCUUGUAGAGGGGGGUAGAAUUCCAGGUGUAGCGGUGAAAUGCGUAGAGAUCUGGAGGAAUACCGGUGGCGAAGGCGGCCCCCUGGACAAAGACUGACGCUCAGGUGCGAAAGCGUGGGGAGCAAACAGGAUUAGAUACCCUGGUAGUCCACGCUGUAAACGAUGUCGACUUGGAGGUUGUGCCCUUGAGGCGUGGCUUCCGGAGCUAACGCGUUAAGUCGACCGCCUGGGGAGUACGGCCGCAAGGUUAAAACUCAAAUGAAUUGACGGGGGCCCGCACAAGCGGUGGAGCAUGUGGUUUAAUUCGAUGCAACGCGAAGAACCUUACCUGGUCUUGACAUCCACAGAAGUUUUCAGAGAUGAGAAUGUGCCUUCGGGAACUGUGAGACAGGUGCG
RNAcentral lists this ribosomal RNA (538 nucleotides) under uncultured Trabulsiella sp. RNAcentral's name for it is "bacterial SSU rRNA". It matches the Rfam family "Bacterial small subunit ribosomal RNA", at positions 505 to 1042 of the family's 1533-position model. The record is from RNAcentral. Lineage: Bacteria; Pseudomonadati; Pseudomonadota; Gammaproteobacteria; Enterobacterales; Enterobacteriaceae.